UGAAAAUAGAAAUCUUCAAAAACAAGGACCGUGAAUGCAUCACGUAUUACUUCCGCUUAGCUUAUCAGUUUGCUUGAAUCAGCUGGGAAGAGAAAGUUUGUUCACUGUAUUGGGUUCUGACAAGAUCUGCAACAAUCCAGCUUUCUCAUUGCUUACAAUCCCAGUUCACAUCAAUACAAUCAGCAAUGGAUCCACAAGCAAACCCUCAGCCGGUCAUGUGUGAGGUCUGCGGGACAUACUUUGAGACACGUCGAGGGCUCUCCAGUCAUGCCCGUCUGCAUCUGCGACAACUUGGUGUGACUUUGUCAGAAAGCAGUGGGGCUCCAAUUGACCUUCUUUACCAGCUUAUCCAAGAAAGAGAUGGCUCUCUCCCUGAUUUCAAAGCUGGCUCCUCUGUACCUGGAUCAGCCCCUUUAAAAAAAACUGCCCAGCAGGAGUCCAGGACCCCUUCAAUGCCAGAGGACAGAAGUACCUUCUAUAAGGCAGGAAGUAGAAUAACUACUCUGCAAAAGUUGACUCAACAGGGAUCUUCAUCCAGGUUGAAAGAGUCCUCUGCCUCUCUCCUCCCCCCAUCCCCCCCUGGUCUUGGGUUGGUCGAAUCUAAAAUGAGUGAAAAGAGCAGCUCAUCAUCAUCAGAGUACCAAACGACAACCAAGCCACUUUGGGCGCCGCUUGAAACUGAUGCACCAAUCACCUUAGACACCAACGAUGAGGUCCAUGUGUGCCAACUCUGUGGUUGCUGGUAUGAGACCCGCAAAGGCCUGUCCAGUCAUGCUCGGGCCCAUCUGCGCCAAAUUGGAGUUCCUGACACUGAGAUCAAGGGUAGCCCUAUUGAUCUUCUAUACAAGAUCAUGGAGGACGAGGACAUGAAGCCCAUCAGCAGUGAGCAAAAAAAGGAGCCCACCUCAGCGAACCCCCCUAGAUCGUCUUCUAAACGUUCUUCUAGUCUGUCCUCUCAAGCUGCGUCUCCUGCUAGCAAACGGCCUAAAGUGUCAGAGGACUGUACCUGCAUUCUCUGUGGGGAGGAGUUUGAGAAUCGAAAAGGCCUGGCCUGCCAUGCUCGCUUUCACCUGAAGCAGAUCGGAGUGGUUGACCUGUUGGGGAAAAGCUCUGCAAUCGACACCGUCAAGGAACUGGUCAGCAGUGGCAUGCUUCAAGCCAUAAAUUCCCCCAAAAAAGCAACCAGCUCAUCUGCAGCCCGAGCCACAGCCCUGUCCUCGGCACCAAGCGGUUCACAGACUUCAUUUCCCUCUUCCUCCCCCUCUCCGAGUCCUGCCAAGAGCACUUCUGAUGCACCUGUUAACAGAGCCCCAAAAGCUAAAAAAGGCUUUCGGCUUGCAGUGGACCCCCUUCAUCGAAAGCCCAAGCCAGAGCCUGUGGAGACUGAGGUGUGUGUUCAACCCCAGGGAUCCAGCAACAGCAGCAACUCCCCAAUGCAGAAAUCACCUGCUGCUGUCGACCCUUCAGAGCCUCUCAAUGCUGAGUUGCCAGUGGCCUCCACAGGGGUUCAGUCCCCGCCUACAGUCCUGUGCGAUUACUGUGGCCAGCUGUUUGAGACCCGUAAAGCCCUCUCAUGCCAUGCCCGUGCCCACCUGCGCCAGCUCGGUCUCUCUUGGUCAAUGAAAACAUCACCUAUCGAUCUACUAAGAGAAGUCAUGGAGAAUGGUGAAGGAGGGAAAAAAAAGCCUUCAUCCGUUGGGUCACCAGGCAAAGCCAUGUGGAUCCCUCAAGGCUCCAAAAAGUCCCCGGGCAUUCUUCAUUUAGGAGAGGCAGCCACUAAACCCAGCAUGUCACCUCUGGAUUUUUCCAUGAAAGAGAAAUCUCCUUCCGACAAGAGUGGCUCCUCACACACCGAUACAUCAUGUGAACUUUGUGGGUUCGAUUUUGAAAACCGCAAGGCCCUGGCCAGUCAUGCAAGAGCCCACCUCCGACAGCUGGGAAUCCUAGAAUGGAAGGCAGACGGAGCAAGUUCACCAAUCGAUCUCCUCAAUGAGUUGAUCCGUCGGGACCCAACCAAGGUGUCAGCAAUAACCCGACGCUAUAGAACAGGGGACCUUUACAUCAAGAAGUCUGGGAGAGCUGCAGCUUCACCCUCACUAUCCAUAGAUUCUGAUUCUGUGCCCGGCAGCAGUCCGAAGGCUACAGUUCAGCAUCAUCAUCACAAGAAAGGAAGAGAUGACUUGAGCUCAUCAAGACACUCACAAGGCCGCACGCAGACUUUUGGAGCCCACAGUGACCCCAGUGUGCGCUCCAGAGGCGGAGUCCAUCCGCUGAAACAUGGAAAACAAGAAGAGAAUCAGAACGGAAAUUCCCAGCAGCCACCACGAUCAGGUAGCAUUCCUGCUAUGCUGCCGAAGCCCCCGCUAACACCACUGGUCAAACUGGUGGGCAAAAUCUACUCCCUCAAGUGCAGGUCAGUCUAUGAAUAUGAAAAUAUGAAGAAUCAAGUCUUCAGUGUAUUCAUUGAGUAUUCAAGUACACAACAGAAAAAUAGACUGAUGGGGUUUAGAAAAGGAAAGAUGAAAUAAAGUAGUUUGAAUUAAUAUUCCACUCAUGAUUCACUUUCAAAAAAACAUGAUAAAAUUGGUUGUAAUGUUAAACAAUUAAGCCCUGAUUUACAAAAGGAUUGCACAGCCUUCGCAGCUUCUAAACCUGUGUCACAAUUACCUUUGUUGAGAGUGGAUGGUGUGCUCGGGUAUAUAUAAGUUAAACAGUCACUAAGGGCGCCCUGAAACAGAUAAUGAACGUACUUUGGUUUCUUAACAGUCUGUGUGUGAUGAGCUGAGAUUGAAAAGUGUUUGAUGUGAGAUUUUCAACACAAAAUACUGAACAUAAAAGCAAAAUCAUAAAUUAAAUACAACAGAGGGUGGAUUAUGUUAUAUCUGAUUGUUUUUUUCAGAUUCACUGUCUAAUGACAUAGAGUCAUAGAGUCUUCUAUCAGAGAUAGAAUAUAUAUUCAUGAUCAGUUAUUUCUAUAGUUUCCCCGUUUGUUCUGGUUUUCAUCAUGAAGAGAAGUCUGACAGUAAAGUUUGUCUGUUAGUAAAAACACUUGUUAUAUUUCCCAUCAGGUUAAUAAAGUUUCAUACGAGGCUGAUCAUUAAUGAGCACGGGGUUUGAAAAGAGGUGCAUAAUUUCUAUUUUCACUUAAAGUAAUAAAUAAUUUAAUUAUGAGGCAGUUUAAUAGUAAAUCGUUCCGUGAUGCAUCAGGACAGAAUAAACAGAGAGCAGAUUCUCUAUAUGUGCAGGUGUGUGUUAAACAGGUAAAGCACAGAGACAGAGCUCUGUUACUGUUUAUAUGUAUCAGAGUUAUUACAGUGAACAUGUGUGCAGACACAAACAGCUGUUGAAGCUGUCAUCACAAACCGACGACGCUUCACGUGACUCUCCAGAGGAAAGGACGUCUCAUUUCUCUUAAUACCAAUCUCCUCGUUUCCUCUCUCCCCUCGUUUUAUUUCCUUGCAUCUCUGGUGGGCGGGAUAAAGACGCGAGUGAACGACGCGAGGAUGGAAGUUAAAAGCUUUGAGACGUACCCACUGCUGGCAGUCCUGCCAACAUGGCGGUGUUGUUCUGAUUUCGCGUGCUGGGAUAUGUGACGUCAUCUCCCGAAGCUCCAUAGAUACAUGAAACAUUUCUCGUUUUUUUUUUCGGUGUAAAUUGUACUUUGUGUUUGCGGAGACAUCAUAAUAAGUGCAUAGAGUCCAUAACCAUUUUUUUUUAUUUUCAACACCGUGAUAGAAAUGGGAAGCUGCAGGCGAUGAUUUAUAAUUAGGGUGGCCACAAUGUACUAUUGGUUGUGAGGCAGAGGGCAUAACCUGCGGGACUGCGUAUUUCACUGGUAUCUGUCGUCUAAUAACUGUACAGGCUAGUGAAAGUACAGGUUAGCCUGGUCGUGGUGCCUCCCAAUUGGAGGUUGGCUAAUCCCUGCUAGUUCAGCUGAUUGCCUAACGCAGCGUAGUAUCUCUGCCCCACAACCCCUUUGUCCAUAUCCUGCCAAUCAAAUCCCCCUUUCUCCAUUUCUCUCCAUUUUUUACCAAUUAAAAAAAUCCUCCGCCUCAACUCUUGCCUCACACCGCCUCGACCAAUCUGAUGUCUAUUGCUACGCAAGUGCCAACAACAACAGGAAGCUCCGUCAAGGCAUCUUUCACGAUGGCAUCAAAAAAGCAUCAAGCCAUGGGUGAGUAUGUCACCAUGAAUGGAUGUUCCGGCUUAGUCACCUCAGCCUCUGCCGCCACACAGCCUGCAGUCAUCUCAGCCUCUGCCGCCAUGCAUCCUGCAGUCAUCUCAGCCUCUGCCGCCAUGCAGCCUGCAGUCAUCUCAGCCUCUGCCGCCAUGCAGCCUGCAGUCAUCUCAGCCUCUGCCGCCAUGCAGGCUGGUACUACUCCAGAGGAAGGACAGUUGGCUGUGGAUGACCAUGACAUGCCAGGCAUGGAUUGUGUGGACCUACUAUCAGAGUUUGUGGUCAGUAUGAUGAACUCUAGAGGUCAGCACAAUCAUAGAUCUCUGGCAGAACCUGCUGCCCUAUGACCAACAACGGGUGACAUUUGCUGCCAGGCAUCAAGACAGGCUGAGAACAGGAAAGCUCGGCUCACCAAAAAGAAAAAGGAAAAAAAGUCUGAGUUCACUCCUGGUGUGGAGAGUCUGAAGCGAUGCGUCCUGGGAUCUACUGCCUCCCCUGCACUGUAAAUAAGGAUUUGCUUGAGCAGUGUAAAAAUCCAAAUGUAAAUAUUUCUUGAUGUUCAUAUGUACAAAGUGUGUGAUAAAAGUGUAUUAAAGUUAAAGUGUAAGGAAUUUAUCGGCACUGAGAGACAACAGACUUAGUAGAAAUAGGAUAUUAAUCCCAAGUGUGUUUAAAUGAGUGUUUAAUCAGCUAAAUAGAAAAAUAAUUUUGUGUUUGUUAACUUAUAGUGAGCCUUUUAUAUCUACAAAGGAGUGGGUCCUCUUCCACAGAGGCCACCAAGUUUCUACAGUAACUCAGAAAAAUAAAAACAAGUGUUUUUGUAUUUCCUGAGUAGCCAAACAAGCCCAAAAUGCACCAGUUGAAACACUGAUUUUUAUUAUUUAUUAAUAAUAUAUCUUAUUCCCAGUUUGUAUUUUCUGUUAUUUAAAGUUUGUCAUUUUUCUACAAAGUGUAAGUGUUUGUUGUGUUUUUUGUUCAUUCUUGUUUUCACUGAAAAAAUAAAGAGUUAAACACUGUUUUUAAAUCC
This is an RNA transcript of Notolabrus celidotus (New Zealand spotty), 5204 nucleotides long. It is a transcript of the gene named protein Wiz-like, with no coding region annotated. The record is from RefSeq and is a predicted model, not a curated record. The transcript has 10 exons. NCBI's taxonomy places the organism in Eukaryota, Metazoa, Chordata, Actinopteri, Labriformes, Labridae.